Molecule: long non-coding RNA, 721 nt
Filed under: Homo sapiens (human)
Lineage: Eukaryota; Metazoa; Chordata; Mammalia; Primates; Hominidae
Description: HSALNT0365029
Source: RNAcentral
GGGCUUUGUGACAUAUGGCAACUCGUUCAAAGGCACACAGCUAAGGGUCAGCAGCAACACACUGCACUCCUGACUCCUGCUCUGAUACUUGCCUCACUGGAACCGUCAUCCCCUCUCAUGUGGCAAAUGCAGCUGGGUAUGUGGUCAGUGCAACCUGUACUUCUACAGCCACCAGCCUGCAGGCUGGACCCCAUUAGAGUGAGGAACGGAACCCCUGCUAGCCAGCCUCAGGUGACAAAACUGAGGCUCAGAGGCCAAUGGCCUUGUUCAAGGUCACACGCCCACUAAAUGAGAGACCCGGAGACCUGGCAUCACACGCUAACUAAGAAUACUGGAAGGAGAUAAGAUUGGGACUGAAAGACCUGGAUUGAAUGAUUUUUAUCAAGUCACUUCCCUUCCUUGGAUCUCCAUUUACUCAUCAAUAAACUAAGCAGAUUGGAUUAAAUGUUCUGUAAGGUGCCUUCUAGGUGAGGAAGAAGUUGGGAUAAGUCAUAAGGAAGCACCCCAAUGAACAUCUCCUGCCUCUAUGGUUUUUCUGACAUCCAUCAACAUCUGUCAGAAUUUGAAAAUGUGACUGCUUUUAGGCACUGUGCUUAGUGCUGGAGAUUCCGUGUUGAAGCUCACAGUCUGGGGCAGAGAUGGAAACAGACACAAAUAACUAUAAUACAAUGUGACUACUGCUUGGGCUUCUGUACCUCAGUUUGGAAAACAUCUUCAGGGA